This 449-nucleotide ribosomal RNA is filed under the name uncultured bacterium. RNAcentral's name for it is "partial 16S ribosomal RNA". It matches the Rfam family "Bacterial small subunit ribosomal RNA", at positions 29 to 523 of the family's 1533-position model. The record is from RNAcentral.
AACGAACGCUGGCGGCAUGCCUAACACAUGCAAGUCGAACGAGAUCUUCGGGUCUAGUGGCGCACGGGUGCGUAACGCGUGGGAAUCUGCCCUUUGGUUCGGAAUAACAGUUGGAAACGACUGCUAAUACCGGUUGAUGACGAAAGUCCAAAGUUUGAUCGCCAGAGCGUGAGUCCGCGUGGGAUUAGCUAGUUGGUGUGGUAAAGGCGCCCCAAGGCGACGAUCCUUAGCUGUGCUGAGAGGAUGAUCAGCCACACGGGGACUGAGACACGGACCAGACUCCUACGGGAGGCAGCAGGGGGGAAUAUUGGAAAAUGGGCGAAAGCCUGAUCCAGCAAUGCCGGGUGAGUGAUGAAGGCCUUAGGGUUGUAAAGCUCUUUUACCCGGGAAGAUAAUGACAGUACCGGGAGAAUAAGCUCCGGCUAACUCCGUGCCAGCAGCCGCCGUAA